AGCAGCCGCGGUAAUUCCAGCUCCAAUAGCGUAUAUUAAAGUUGUUGCAGUUAAAAAGCUCGUAGUUGAACCUUAGGCCCGUGCGGGCGGUCCGUCCUCUGGGCGAGCACUGCCUCGUUGCGGGUCUCACCUUCUGGCGAGCGUGGAUGCCAUUUAUUUGGUGUCCGCGGGAACCAGGACCUUUACCUUGAAAAAAUUAGAGUGCUCAAAGCGGGCUCCGACGCUUGAAUACAUUAGCAUGGAAUAAUGAAAUAGGACGAUGGUUCUAUUUUGUUGGUUUCCGGGACCGUCGUAAUGAUUAAUAGGGAUAGUUGGGGGCAUUCGUAUUCAAUUGUCAGAGGUGAAAUUCUUGGAUUUAUUGAAGACGGACUACUGCGAAAGCAUUUGCCAAGGAUGUUUUCAUUAAUCAAGAACGAAAGUUGGGGGAUCGAAGACGAUCAGAUACCGUCGUAGUCUCAACCAUAAACUAUGCCGACUGGGAAUCGGGCGAUGUUAUUUUUUGUGUACUCGCUCGGCGCCC
This 520-nucleotide ribosomal RNA is filed under the name uncultured Paraglomus. RNAcentral's name for it is "bacterial SSU rRNA". It matches the Rfam family "Eukaryotic small subunit ribosomal RNA", at positions 569 to 1088 of the family's 1831-position model. Lineage: Eukaryota; Fungi; Glomeromycota; Glomeromycetes; Paraglomerales; Paraglomeraceae. The record is from RNAcentral.